AUUUUUUUUUCUACUCCAAAUUUUGACCUUAAUGUACUUUUUCGGGCCUUUUAAUGAUCUUUGCUAUAGUACGGGGCGAAAAUUAUAUGUUCGGACAUUGUUUUCGAAUAUUUUGCAUGUAUCAAAGCUCUUAUUAACAAGAUAGGGUGUUCCUACAUAGCUAAUGGGACCCACGGCAAAUGGAUCAUAAAGUCUUCAAAAAAGAAUAGAUAUAAUUGCAUUGCAUGUAGUAACAGCUACGAUCAUACCAGCACUAAUGAACUGGAUCCCAUCAGAACUCUACAGUUAAGCGUGCUUGGGCGAGAGUUGUACUAGGAUGAGUGAGCUCCAGGAAAGUCCUCGUGUUGCAUCCCUCUUUUUUUCGGUUUUUCUCUUUUUUUAUGUUAAAAAUAAAUGACUCUAUAACUUUUGGACCGUGAGGCCAAACUUGGCAUGUGAUACCUUUUUGGAAAGCCCAAAGAGAGCUCUCCAAUUAAUGAGGAAGGAAAAUGAAAUUCUUCUAUUGUUUUUUUUUUCUACGCCAAAUUUUGACCUUAAUGUAAUUUUUUGGGCCUUUUCGUGUUUUUUGCUUUAUUACGGGGCAAAAAUUAUAUGUUCGGCCAUUGUUUUCGAAUAUUUUACAUGUAUCAAAGCUCUUAUAAACAAGAUAGGGUAUUCCUACAUAUCUGGUGGGACCCACAG
RNAcentral lists this small RNA (681 nucleotides) under Arabidopsis thaliana (thale cress). The record is from RNAcentral. Lineage: Eukaryota; Viridiplantae; Streptophyta; Magnoliopsida; Brassicales; Brassicaceae.